RNAcentral lists this ribosomal RNA (301 nucleotides) under uncultured bacterium. RNAcentral describes it as "partial 16S ribosomal RNA". It matches the Rfam family "Bacterial small subunit ribosomal RNA", at positions 509 to 807 of the family's 1533-position model. The record is from RNAcentral.
CAGUAGCCACGGUAAUACGAAGGGUGCAAGCGUUACUCGGAAUUACUGGGCGUAAAGCGUGCGUAGGUGGUGGUUUAAGUCCGUCGUGAAAGCCCUGGGCUCAACCUGGGAAUUGCAGUGGAUACUGGGUCACUAGAGUGUGGUAGAGGAUAGUGGAAUUUCCGGUGUAGCAGUGAAAUGCGUAGAGAUCGGAAGGAACAUCUGUGGCGAAGGCGACUAUCUGGGCCAACACUGACACUGAGGCACGAAAGCGUGGGGAGCAAACAGGAUUAGAUACCCGAGUAGUCCCUGUCUCUUAUAC